CCUACGGGAGGCAGCAGUGGGGAAUAUUGGACAAUGGGCGAAAGCCUGAUCCAGCCAUGCCGCGUGUGUGAAGAAGGCCUUCGGGUUGUAAAGCACUUUCAGUGGGGAAGAAAGCCUUGGGGCUAAUACCCUCGAGGAAGGACAUCACCCACAGAAGAAGCACCGGCUAACUCCGUGCCAGCAGCCGCGGUAAUACGGAGGGUGCGAGCGUUAAUCGGAAUUACUGGGCGUAAAGCGCGCGUAGGCGGUCUGAUAAGCCGGUUGUGAAAGCCCCGGGCUCAACCUGGGAACGGCAUCCGGAACUGUCAGGCUAGAGUGCAGGAGAGGAAGGUGGAAUUCCCGGUGUAGCGGUGAAAUGCGUAGAGAUCGGGAGGAAUACCAGUGGCGAAGGCGGUCUUCUGGACUGACACUGACGCUGAGGUGCGAAAGCGUGGGUAGCAAACAGGAUUAGAUACCCCGGUAGUC
This 465-nucleotide ribosomal RNA is filed under the name Vreelandella stevensii. RNAcentral's name for it is "partial 16S ribosomal RNA". It matches the Rfam family "Bacterial small subunit ribosomal RNA", at positions 338 to 795 of the family's 1533-position model. The record is from RNAcentral. Lineage: Bacteria; Pseudomonadati; Pseudomonadota; Gammaproteobacteria; Oceanospirillales; Halomonadaceae.